Molecule: ribosomal RNA, 407 nt
Filed under: uncultured bacterium
Lineage: Bacteria
Description: partial 16S ribosomal RNA
Rfam family: Bacterial small subunit ribosomal RNA
Source: RNAcentral
GACGAACGCUGGCGGCGUGCUUAACACAUGCAAGUCGAACGAAGUGGCGAACGGGUGAGUAACGUGUAAUCAACCUGCCCCUCAGAGGGGGACAACAGUUGGAAACGACUGCCAAUACCGCAUACUGAAGGAGGGGAGUGCGUCUGACUAGCUAGUUGGGGGGGUAACGGCCACCUAGGCGAAGGACAGUAACCGGUCUGGCAGGGUGACCGACCAACUUGGGACUGGGACCCGGCCCAGACUCCUUCGGGGGGCCGCAGUGGGGGAUCUUCCGCAAUGGGCGGAAGUCUUACGGCACAACGCCGCGUGGGUGGUGACGGCCUUCGGGUUGUAAAGCUCUGUUAAUCGGGGCGCGGUACCGGAAUAGAAAGCCACGGCUAACUACGUGCCAGCCGCCGCGGUAAUAC